RNAcentral lists this ribosomal RNA (524 nucleotides) under Clostridioides difficile. RNAcentral describes it as "bacterial SSU rRNA". It matches the Rfam family "Bacterial small subunit ribosomal RNA", at positions 907 to 1430 of the family's 1533-position model. Lineage: Bacteria; Bacillati; Bacillota; Clostridia; Peptostreptococcales; Peptostreptococcaceae. The record is from RNAcentral.
GAAUUGACGGGGACCCGCACAAGUAGCGGAGCAUGUGGUUUAAUUCGAAGCAACGCGAAGAACCUUACCUAAGCUUGACAUCCCAAUGACAUCUCCUUAAUCGGAGAGUUCCCUUCGGGGACAUUGGUGACAGGUGGUGCAUGGUUGUCGUCAGCUCGUGUCGUGAGAUGUUGGGUUAAGUCCCGCAACGAGCGCAACCCUUGUCUUUAGUUGCCAUCAUUAAGUUGGGCACUCUAGAGAGACUGCCAGGGAUAACCUGGAGGAAGGUGGGGAUGACGUCAAAUCAUCAUGCCCCUUAUGCUUAGGGCUACACACGUGCUACAAUGGGUAGUACAGAGGGUUGCCAAGCCGUAAGGUGGAGCUAAUCCCUUAAAGCUACUCUCAGUUCGGAUUGUAGGCUGAAACUCGCCUACAUGAAGCUGGAGUUACUAGUAAUCGCAGAUCAGAAUGCUGCGGUGAAUGCGUUCCCGGGUCUUGUACACACCGCCCGUCACACCACGGGAGUUGGAGACGCCCGAAGCCGA